This 285-nucleotide unclassified non-coding RNA is filed under the name Gyoerffyella tricapillata. RNAcentral's name for it is "partial contains 5.8S ribosomal RNA, internal transcribed spacer 2, and large subunit ribosomal RNA". Lineage: Eukaryota; Fungi; Ascomycota; Leotiomycetes; Helotiales; Discinellaceae. The record is from RNAcentral.
CGCACAUUGCGCCCCGUGGUAUUCCGCGGGGCAUGCCUGUUCGAGCGUUAUUUCAAACUUCUCCACCUACGGCGCUGUUUAUGGCGCACCAAGUGGGCUUUGAGUUUUUAUCCUGUUUGGCUUCAAAUGGGAAAUGCUCUAAAUGUGUGGACAGCAGUGAUGAGCCUUGAAAUGCAGUGACUUGCAAUAUUUCAAAUAGGUCAUUAUCUGCUUUGUCAUUGGGAAUCAGCUUCCCGCGUAUUCAUUUCUAACCUCGAAUCAGGUAGGGAUACCCGCUGAACUUAA